RNAcentral lists this transfer RNA (66 nucleotides) under Notidobia ciliaris. Its description in RNAcentral is "tRNA-His". The record is from RNAcentral. Lineage: Eukaryota; Metazoa; Arthropoda; Insecta; Trichoptera; Sericostomatidae.
AUUUAAAUAGUUUAAUUUAAAAUUUUGAUUUGUGGAGUCAAGGAUAUAUUUAUAAUAUUUUAGAUA